Molecule: non-coding RNA, 74 nt
Organism: Podarcis lilfordi (Lilford's wall lizard)
Lineage: Eukaryota; Metazoa; Chordata; Lepidosauria; Squamata; Lacertidae
Source: the annotation of a GenBank genome assembly
GAAGGGCUGUAGCUAAGUGGUAGAGCUCCUGUUUUGUAUUCAGAAGGUCCCAGGUUCAGUUGCCAGCAUCUUCA